RNAcentral lists this ribosomal RNA (468 nucleotides) under uncultured bacterium. RNAcentral describes it as "partial 16S ribosomal RNA". It matches the Rfam family "Bacterial small subunit ribosomal RNA", at positions 28 to 507 of the family's 1533-position model. The record is from RNAcentral.
GACGAACGCUGGCGGCGUGCUUAACACAUGCAAGUCGAACGGAAAGGCCCUGCUUUUGUGGGGUGCUCGAGUGGCGAACGGGUGAGUAACACGUGAGUAACCUGCCCUUGACUUUGGGAUAACUUCAGGAAACUGGGGCUAAUACCGGAUAGGAGCUCCUGCUGCAUGGUGGGGGUUGGAAAGUUUCGGCGGUUGGGGAUGGACUCGCGGCUUAUCAGCUUGUUGGUGGGGUAGUGGCUUACCAAGGCUUUGACGGGUAGCCGGCCUGAGAGGGUGACCGGCCACAUUGGGACUGGGAUACGGCCCAGACUCCUACGGGAGGCAGCAGUGGGGAAUAUUGCACAGUGGGCGGAAGCCUGAUGCAGCAACGCCGCGUGCGGGAUGACGGCCUUCGGGUUGUAAACCGCUUUCGCCUGUGACGAAGCGUGAGUGACGGUAAUGGGUAAAGAAGCACCGGCUAACUACGUG